UUCCUGAUGGUCCAGUGGUUAAGACUCUGCACUUCUACUGCAGCGGCCGCAGGUUUGAUCCUUGGUCAGGGAA
RNAcentral lists this transfer RNA (73 nucleotides) under Ovis aries (sheep). It matches the Rfam family "tRNA". From Rfam's summary of the family: Transfer RNA (tRNA) molecules are approximately 80 nucleotides in length. Lineage: Eukaryota; Metazoa; Chordata; Mammalia; Artiodactyla; Bovidae. The record is from Rfam by way of RNAcentral.